GACGAACGCUGGCGGCGUGCCUAAUACAUGCAAGUCGAGCGGACGGAUGGGAGCUUGCUCCCAGACCGUCAGCGGCGGACGGGUGAGUAACACGUGGGCAACCUGCCUGUAAGCCUGGGAUAACUCCGGGAAACCGGGGCUAAUACCGGAUAACUCUUUCCCUCACCUGAGGGAAAGCUGAAAGAUGGCAUCUCGCUAUCACUUACAGAUGGGCCCGCGGCGCAUUAGCUAGUUGGUGAGGUAACGGCUCACCAAGGCGACGAUGCGUAGCCGACCUGAGAGGGUGAUCGGCCACACUGGGACUGAGACACGGCCCAGACUCCUACGGGAGGCAGCAGUAGGGAAUCUUCCGCAAUGGACGAAAGUCUGACGGAGCAACGCCGCGUGAGUGAUGAAGGUUUUCGGAUCGUAAAACUCUGUUGUCAGGGAAGAACAAGUACCGGAGUAACUGCCGGUACCUUGACGGUACCUGACCAGAAAGCCACGGCUAACUACGUG
RNAcentral lists this ribosomal RNA (498 nucleotides) under uncultured bacterium. RNAcentral describes it as "partial 16S ribosomal RNA". It matches the Rfam family "Bacterial small subunit ribosomal RNA", at positions 28 to 507 of the family's 1533-position model. The record is from RNAcentral.